RNAcentral lists this ribosomal RNA (1641 nucleotides) under Triticum aestivum (bread wheat). RNAcentral's name for it is "partial small subunit ribosomal RNA". Lineage: Eukaryota; Viridiplantae; Streptophyta; Magnoliopsida; Poales; Poaceae. The record is from RNAcentral.
AUGGGCCAUUGGUGGAUAGACUUGGAGAGGCAAAGAAAGUUGAAUGACCUGUACAAUUCAACAGAUAAAAACUGCAUCAGUCAGCUCCGGAUGAGGAAAGAUGUGUUUUGGAAGCUAUCAGCCCAUUUACGUGAUGCCAAACUUGUACGUGAUUCAGUGCAUGUAUCAGUUGAAGAAAAAUUAGCCAUUUUCCUGCAUACGGUUGGCCACAAUUUGAGAAAUAGAGUGGUCGGGUUUUUCCUCACGAGAUCUAGCUAUACAGACUGCAUUGGGGCACUUGAUGGAACCCACAUCCCUGCAUUUGUCCCUGAGAACAUAGCUAACAGAUUUCGAGGUCGGAAGUCAUACCCAACCCAAAAUGUCCUUGCAGUUGUGGACUUUGAUUUGAGGUUUACCUAUGUACUUGCUGGGUGGGAGGGAUCUACUCAUGACUCUGAAGUUCUGAAGGCUGCCCUUAACAGAACAAAUGGGAUUCCAAUGCCAGAAGGCAAAUAUUACUUAGCUGAUGCUGGGUAUGCAGCAAGACCUGUUCAUAAAAUGGAUGAAGCUGAAAGAAAUAUGAGCAGUAAGGGGAAAGAAUGCAAAGGUGACAAGAAUGCAAGUGCAAAAGCUAUAAAUUGGCCUAUAGCUAUAUCUGAGUUUCUUCUUGACUGGUACAUUGAGAAGAAGAUUGAAAUGCCUCCUAAAGCAGUAUUCAAGAAGAUGCAUCACAAUGCUUGCACAUCAGCAAUAAAUGAGAAGUAUGGGUGUUCUUAUAGUGUCCAGCAAGUUCAUUGUCACUUUAGGUGUCAUAAGGAGACAUGGGGGCAAGUGGCUAGGUACAGCAAUGAGAGUGGUAGCGGUUUUGAUGAUGUCAACAAACAAGUGCUGCUCUCUCAAUCUACUCUGGAUACACUAUCGUUCUACGACAAGUUGAAAGAACUAUUUAGUGGUUCCUCAGCCGAUGGCUCUUUUAUGCAAGACCCUUUCUCUGCAGCUGAAACUGACAAUGAUGAUAAGGCAAAAGAUGACAUGAUGAAUGAUAUGUCCACCUAUGAUGAAGCAAAGGGUCCAACAGGUCAUGACUCAGAUAAAUUAGAUACAGAUAGUGAUGAUUGUGAAGCGGUGGCUGCUCUUGCUGCAACUAAUAGUCAAGUUUCAUCAUCCAAUGUUGGUGCUCUAAAGCCUAACAAGAAAAGUUUCAAAAAAACUACCAAGGCAAAUACUCUCCCACCACCACAAAAUGAUAAAGCUAAAAAGUCAAAGGCGAGAUCAUCUCAAGCAUCACAGGAUGACACUGAUAUGGAUGUGCUGCUCACAAGUACCUUGAUAGGCAUACGAGAGACCCUUGCAAGUCCAGUACAGACUGUAGCCCCAAAGGACCCAAAUGCUCCUUUAUGGGACAUGCUCAAGAAGAUUCCAUUGCCACCUGAUGAGAGGAUGUCGGUCAGGAUGCAUCUAUGCAAGCCAGAAUUUGUAGUUCAUCGUGGUUUCCUUGUCAGCAUGGGUCGGGAAUGCCUGGAGCGUUGGGUGUACACAUACUUAUCCGACAAUGAUCCUACUGGCAAACGUGGUGGCGAUGGUCCUGCUGGUAACCUUGGCGACGAUGGUCCGGCUGGUGACCUUGGUGAUGAUGCUGCAGUUAACUCCAGUACUUUCUAA